GACGAACGCUGGCGGCGUGCUUAACACAUGCAAGUCGAACGAAGUGGCGAACGGGUGAGUAACGCGUAAUCAACCUGCCCUUCAGAGGGGGCCAACAGUUGGAACCGACUGCUAAUACCGCAUACUGAAGGAGGGGAUUGCGUCUGAUUAGCCAGUUGGAGGGGUAACGGCCCACCAAGGCGAUGAUCAGUAGCCGGUCUGGAAGGAUGAACGGCCACAUUGGGACUGGGACACGGCCCAGACUCCUACGGGAGGCAGCAGUGGGGAAGUUUCCGCAAUGGACGAAAGUCUGACGGAGCAACGCCGCGUGAGUGAUGACGGCCUUCGGGUUGGAAAGCUCUGUUAAUCGGGACGCGGUACCGGAAGAGAAAGCCACGGCUAACUACGUGCCAGCCGCCGCGGUAAUAC
This 408-nucleotide ribosomal RNA is filed under the name uncultured bacterium. RNAcentral describes it as "partial 16S ribosomal RNA". It matches the Rfam family "Bacterial small subunit ribosomal RNA", at positions 28 to 526 of the family's 1533-position model. The record is from RNAcentral.